AUGUAAAUCAGUAUAUGGGGAUGUUUCCCUUACAUUCAACGUCGGGAGUACGGAAAAAUAAAAGGGGAGAUAAAAUCCCCCCUUUUUGGUUAACC
This is a small RNA of 95 nucleotides. It matches the Rfam family "sraA". The record is from Rfam.